This 1527-nucleotide unclassified non-coding RNA is filed under the name Mizuhopecten yessoensis (Yesso scallop). RNAcentral describes it as "rho-related protein racA-like, transcript variant X2". Lineage: Eukaryota; Metazoa; Mollusca; Bivalvia; Pectinida; Pectinidae. The record is from RNAcentral.
CAUGUCCUACCCGGGUAGUGACGUCAUUUGCAUCUGCUUCGCCGUGGACAACAGGGACUCCUUUGAGAACAUCACAUAAAAGUGGAUCCCAAAACUUCAACACCACAUCCCAAAUGUGCCUAAAAUGCUUGUGGCGUGUAAAACAGACCUGCGAUAUACAAGCACUGGGGAUUAUGUGACGUAUGCUUAGGGGUCAAAGGUCGCCCAAGAUUGGGACUACGGUACCAAGAAACCAGUGCUUUGACUCGAGACGGACUUACGGCAUGCUUUAAUAGAGCGAUCAUAGAAGCCAAUCAAGGGAUUGUAGCACGCCGGAGGAAGAAAGACCGAUUACAUUUUUUAGGAGACCGAAGAAAGAGAUUCCUAACCCACCCACACUGCCACCAGCAGAAAAGGCCCCUCGGGUUGAGGUAGAAGCUUCCCGGUUCGCUGACGACUGGCGUGGGAUGCUGGAGAAACCCCGAAAUUAUGAUGUGACAUUUAUACUCGGCGGAGGUCAGCGGCUAGAGGCUAAUACACUUGUACUGUGUUCGUCCUCGUCGUUCUUCUGUCGGGUCUUCGGGAUGACGCGCUAUGAUCAGAAUGACCAAAAGAAAAAAUUCGGUCGCUUGGAACCAUUCUCAAUGGAGGAUAUCUGCUGUAUAUGGAAAAGGGACGAUCAUCUGUGCCAAAGGUCAACGUCGGCGCCACACAGUUAUAAAGCUGGCUUCUGAUAUUACAUAUACAACGUUUACUCAAGUGCUGGCAUUUCUAUACACGGGUGGAUAUUCCUGCAACAUCCGUGGAGUGUUUUCUGGCCCUACUGGAGUACCUGUACACCGAUCACUCACCCAUACAGGAGGUCGACGUCAUGGGACUCAUUGUUCUCGCGGAUUUAUACGAUCAGAAAGGGCUCAUGAAUAUCUGUGAACUAUACGUUACGAAAGAAGUCGAUAGAAGCGUAACCAAACGAAUAGAACAGGCUGAGAUUGACGUCAUAGGAUUAAUUUUAACAUCACAGAUGUACAACGCCAACCAAUUGACCGCAUGGUGCUUGCACUUCAUCUCCAGUAAUUAUACAGCAUUCAAACGCAAGCCUGAAUUCGAUCAGCUCAAGGGAGAUAACUUAGACAUAGUGAAGAAAAGACAAUGGCCUCCCAGUUCCUAUCUCGAAGAAGUUGCAGAAUUCGACAAGAAAUGGGCAGGAAAUGGCGUAGAAUGUUUCUUGAUGUGACACAAUUACAGUGCGUCACUGUUUGUUAUUGGUAUUUAUUUGUUAUUGAUUAAUGUGUUUGUUAUUGUUAAUGUUAAGAUAUACAUGUAUAUAUUUUGGGAAGAAAUAAAAAAGAGGUUAAUUUACGGAAGCAAGUAUCUGAAUUGGUCGACUUUCACGUUUGUAGUGUUGUAUAGGUUUGAUAUACCUUCAUUGAACAAAUAGCUCAAGUAUUUACAAAGUUAACCUCGAUGCAGAGACGAAAUCAGGACACUGUUUCGGUAGCGUUGUUUUUCAUGGAUUUGGAUUAAGUUCAUAGGGAUAAGCAUCCUGUU